This 429-nucleotide ribosomal RNA is filed under the name bacterium. RNAcentral describes it as "partial 16S ribosomal RNA". It matches the Rfam family "Bacterial small subunit ribosomal RNA", at positions 355 to 776 of the family's 1533-position model. The record is from RNAcentral.
UAGGGAAUCUUCCACAAUGGACGCAAGUCUGAUGGAGCAACGCCGCGUGAGUGAAGAAGGUUUUCGGAUCGUAAAGCUCUGUUGUUGGUGAAGAAGGAUAGAGGCAGUAACUGGUCUUUAUUUGACGGUAAUCAACCAGAAAGUCACGGCUAACUACGUGCCAGCAGCCGCGGUAAUACGUAGGUGGCAAGCGUUGUCCGGAUUUAUUGGGCGUAAAGCGAGCGCAGGCGGAAUGAUAAGUCUGAUGUGAAAGCACACGGCUCAACCGUGGAACUGCAUCGGAAACUGUCAUUCUUGAGUGCAGAAGAGGAGAGUGGAAUUCCAUGUGUAGCGGUGGAAUGCGUAGAUAUAUGGAAGAACACCAGUGGCGAAGGCGGCUCUCUGGUCUGCAACUGACGCUGAGGCUCGAAAGCAUGGGUAGCGAACAGG